AGGACAGUGGAACUCCAUGUGUAGCGGUGGAAUGCGUAGAUAUAUGGAAGAACACCAGUGGCGAAGGCGGCUGUCUAGUCUGUAACUGACGCUGAGGCUCGAAAGCAUGGGUAGCGAACAGGAUUAGAUACCCUGGUAGUCCAUGCCGUAAACGAUGAGUGCUAAGUGUUGGAGGGUUUCCCCCUUCAGUGCUGCAGCUAACGCAUUAAGCACUCCGCCUGGGGAGUACGACCGCAAGGUUGAAACUCAAAGGAAUUGACGGGGGCCCGCACAAGCGGUGGAGCAUGUGGUUUAAUUCGAAGCUACGCGAAGAACCUUACCAGGUCUUGACAUCUUCUGCCAAUCUUAGAGAUAAGACGUUCCCUUCGGGGACAGAAUGACAGGUGGUGCAUGGUUGUCGUCAGCUCGUGUCGUGAGAUGUUGGGUUAAGUCCCGCAACGAGCGCAACCCUUAUUAUCAGUUGCCAGCAUUCAGUUGGGCACUCUGGUGAGACUGCCGGUGACAAACCGGAGGAAGGUGGGGAUGACGUCAAAUCAUCAUGCCCCUUAUGACCUGGGCUACACACGUGCUACAAUGGACGGUACAACGAGUCGCGAAGUCGUGAGGCUAAGCUAAUCUCUUAAAGCCGUUCUCAGUUCGGAUUGUAGGCUGCAACUCGCCUACAUGAAGUUGGAAUCGCUAGUAAUCGCGGAUCAGCAUGCCGCGGUGAAUACGUUCCCGGGCCUUGUACACACCGCCCGUCACACCAUGAGAGUUUGUAACACCCAAAGCCGGUGAGAUAACCUUCGGGAGUCAGCCGUCUAAGGUGGGACAGAUGAUUAGGGUGAAGUCGUAACAAGGUAACCAAGGGCGAAUCG
Molecule: ribosomal RNA, 857 nt
Filed under: uncultured Lactobacillus sp.
Lineage: Bacteria; Bacillati; Bacillota; Bacilli; Lactobacillales; Lactobacillaceae
Description: bacterial SSU rRNA
Rfam family: Bacterial small subunit ribosomal RNA
Source: RNAcentral